This 459-nucleotide ribosomal RNA is filed under the name uncultured bacterium. Its description in RNAcentral is "bacterial SSU rRNA". It matches the Rfam family "Bacterial small subunit ribosomal RNA", at positions 1 to 507 of the family's 1533-position model. The record is from RNAcentral.
UCGUACGACGAGUUUGAUCCUGGCUCAGAACGAACGCUGGCGGCAGGCCUAACACAUGCAAGUCGAGCGCCCCGCAAGGGGAGCGGCGGACGGGUGAGUAACGCGUGGGAACGUACCCUUUGCUACGGAAUAGCCUCGGGAAACUGGGAGUAAUACCGUAUGUGCCCUUCGGGGGAAAGAUUUAUCGGCAAAGGAUCGGCCCGCGUUGGAUUAGGUAGUUGGUGGGGUAAUGGCCUACCAAGCCGACGAUCCAUAGCUGGUUUGAGAGGAUGAUCAGCCACACUGGGACUGAGACACGGCCCAGACUCCUACGGGAGGCAGCAGUGGGGAAUCUUAGACAAUGGGCGCAAGCCUGAUCUAGCCAUGCCGCGUGAGCGAUGAAGGCCUUAGGGUUGUAAAGCUCUUUCAGUGGGGAAGAUAAUGACUGUACCCACAGAAGAAGCCCCGGCUAACUCCGUG